Long non-coding RNA from Prionailurus viverrinus (fishing cat), 482 nucleotides. RefSeq lists it as uncharacterized. The record is from RefSeq and is a predicted model, not a curated record. NCBI's taxonomy places the organism in Eukaryota, Metazoa, Chordata, Mammalia, Carnivora, Felidae. The transcript is spliced from 3 exons.
UCGGGAGGGCCGGCGGCGGGUGGGCGCGGAGUGCGGGGUCGCCGCCACUGCGCGCGCCGCGCCUCGGGGGGAACUAGAAUGCGUUCGGGAGCUGCCUGCCGGGCCCGGGCACCCCCAGUGCCUGGCACUCCGCGGGCGCUCAAUAAAUAUUUGUUGAAUGAAUGAGCAGUUGACUACCGCGUUCACCCCCUGGAGCUUUAACUGACACCGAGAGGACCGGAAGCCGGGCUCCAGGGCGGACGCGACCUCCCGGGGCCACCGUUGAUAGCUUUCAAAGCGGGCGUGUUUGUCUCCCGAGCCCCACUGUAUAUGCUUCAGGCCCCAGAGAACUUGGAUCCUGUCCCUGGGUGUGAUAGACAAGGACUUAAUCACCUUUAGGACUUCCUCAGGGAUUCCUCCACGUGGACCCCUAGGAGCUGAAGCAUUUGCAUUAUAGAAUGGGGACUUCGCAAAGGUAUUUCAGUUGUCUCUGUUCAAGGAAA